RNAcentral lists this non-coding RNA (795 nucleotides) under Trichomonas vaginalis G3. Its description in RNAcentral is "Eukaryotic small subunit ribosomal RNA". It matches the Rfam family "Eukaryotic small subunit ribosomal RNA", at positions 93 to 1065 of the family's 1831-position model. Lineage: Eukaryota; Parabasalia; Trichomonadida; Trichomonadidae. The record is from Rfam by way of RNAcentral.
AUAGCUCAUUAAUACGCUCAGAAUCUAUUUGGCGGCGACCAACAGGUCUUAUAUGGAUAGCAGCAGCAACUCUGGUGCUAAUACAUGCGAUUGUUUCUCCAGAUGUGAAUUAUGGAGGAAAAGUUGACCUCAUCAGAGGCACGCCAUUCGACUGAGUGACCUAUCAGCUUGUACUUAGGGUCUUUACCUAGGUAGGCUAUCACGGGUAACGGGCGGUUACCGUCGGACUGCCGGAGAAGGCGCCUGAGAGAUAGCGACUAUAUCCACGGGUAGCAGCAGGCGCGAAACUUUCCCACUCGAGACUUUCGGAGGAGGUAAUGACCAGUUCCAUUGGUGCCUUUUGGUACUGUGGAUAGGGGUACGGUUUUCCACCGUACCGAAACCUAGCAGAGGGCCAGUCUGGUGCCAGCAGCUGCGGUAAUUCCAGCUCUGCGAGUUUGCUCCCAUAUUGUUGCAGUUAAAACGCCCGUAGUCUGAAUUGGCCAGCAAUGGUCGUACGUAUUUUUACGUUCACUGUGAACAAAUCAGGACGCUUAGAGUAUGGCCACAUGAAUGACUCAGCGCAGUAUGAAGUCUUUGUUUUCUUCCGAAAACAAGCUCAAUGAGAGCCAUCGGGGGUAGAUCUAUCUCAUGACGAGUGGUGGAAUACUUUGACUCAUGAGAGAGAAGCUGAGGCGAAGGCGUCUACCUAGAGGGUUUCUGUCGAUCAAGGGCGAGAGUAGGAGUAUCCAACAGGAUUAGAGACCCUGGUAGUUCCUACCUUAAACGAUGCCGACAGGAGUUUGUCAUUUGUUA